UCUUACAUCUGGUAAGAGACUUAUGCGGAUAACCACCGCGUACCUAGGAGAACUAGGAUUGGACUCCUAUUAGAGGAGAAACAAAAUG
This 88-nucleotide non-coding RNA is filed under the name unclassified sequences. RNAcentral's name for it is "freshwater-2 RNA". It matches the Rfam family "freshwater-2 RNA". Rfam says of the family: Aquatic, esp. fresh water. No recognized genes The record is from RNAcentral.